CCAUGGCUCAGCGGUAACAAACCCGACUUGAUCCGUGAGGAUAUGGGUUCGAUCCCCGGCCUCGAUCAGUGGGUUAGGGAUCGGAUGUUGCCAUGAGCUGUGGUGUAGGUCACAGACUCGGCUCAGACCCUGUGUUGCUGUGGCUGUGGCGUAGGCUGGCAGCAGUAGCUCCAAUUCAACCCCGAGCCUGGGAACUUCCAUAUGCCAUCCGUGGGGCCCUUAAAAAAAAUAAAUAAAAAGAAUAGGAGAUGAGGAGAUGAGGGGGUGGGAGGCAGGCCCCGGUGUGCAGUAGACCCUGAAGUGGAGAAUCGGCAGGUGGGUACCACUCAGCAUCCACACUGGAGCUUCAGGCAACAGCAAGUUGCCACGGCAACAGCCAGACUGGAUCCUCUGCCAUUGUGUUCCAUUCCCACCCUUCCCUCUGGACCACGGCGUGUGGAAAGAGGCAAAGCCUGGAUCUGAAAGCAUUUGAGCCAUGGGGCUGCGUCAUAGCCACAGGAUGAAACAGAAGAUCUAGCGACCAAUCUGACUGGCCCGGUGGGACCAGUACCAUGGUCUCAGGAGGCAGAGAUGACAAGUGGAAGGAGACAGCUGUGGCUUUGUCCUGGGUCUGCCUUUCACCCACAUUCCUGCUCGGCUCACAGAAAUAUUAUCAUGCUGGAAAGAAAAAAAUGCCUUCUGCAGCGCAAGGAGCUAUGUAGCCUUUGUUUAUUCCGUUCCAUGGAGGGAGCAGGGGGCACUCCACAUUCUGCCUAAAAAUAUCCGCAGUGUGCUUCAAAAUAUUUGUCACCCAUGCAGAGAAUUCUGCAGAUCCUCACUGCAGAGCCUUGGAAAGGAGGACACAGAAAGGUGGGCGGAGAAGGACUUCCUCUCACCUGCGUCUCCCCACAGCAAUUCCAGAGAGCAGAUGUCUUGAUCUUCUGGGCCAAGCUCUGGGCUUUCCAUGUGUUUGCAUGGCUUUUGCUGUGUUUUGCUUACUGUGCUAAAUGCAAACUUGAAAGAGACACAUCCCUUCCCCCAUGAACCCGAGAUUCGUCUUGCAUACUGGACCCAGGGACAGUUCUGACCCUGCGGUCUCCAUUCAAUGAGCCAAAGUGUCCCAGGUAUCAUUCUGUCAACAUCUGCCGUCUAGUCUCUGUUGAGCAGUUCCUCAUCCAGGUCCAGUGGGGCACCCCUGGUGCCAUGCACUCCCAAUCCUUUGCUUAAGUCACAGAAGCUCAGUUUGUGGUGGGUUAAAACACUUGUUUCUGUGAGUGUAAAUGCUUUUUAUUGAUACUUAGGUGCCUUUUCCAGGGACCCUCUGGGUACUGGGGUGGAGACCAGGUUCCAGGCAUCCUGAGAGCUGCGGGUCUUCAGACUUGAGGGUACAGAGGCUGGUGUCACUCAAACUUGCUUGUCCCUGACACUCACAGACAGCAAGGCACUGGUUUUCCUUUCCUUCUUUCUUUCUUGCUUUCUGUAGGGCUGCAACUGUGGCAUAUGGAAUUUCCCAGGCUAGGGGUUGAAUCAGAGCUGUAGCUUCCGCCUAUACUACGGCCACGGCAACACCGAUCAGGGCCGCAUCUGCAACCUAGCCUGCACCUUGCAGCAGCACUGGAUCCUUAACCCACUGGAUGAGACCAGGGAUCGAACCCGCAUCCUCACGGAUACUAUAUCGGUUCUUAACCUGCUGAGCCACAACAGGAACUCUGAAACAUUAAGUUUGCCAAAAUCUGGCAUUGACUGAACCAGGGAACUUUAGAUCUUCCAACUGAGCUAUUUUGGCCCCCACUCUCUUUUUUUCCUUUUAACACGUACAAAUGCAAUUGCUGUCAAAUCCCUAAAAGCGGCAUUUCCUCAACUUCUCUUACGUGUGAUGAGCCAUCCCUCGGCUCUCUUGGGAUGUUACCUCUGUUUUUAUUUCUUUUUCUUGUUAAUUGUAAACAUUAGCAGAAACCAAAGGACUGGUUCCUUCUCCCAGCAAUUCUGAUUGAGGACAUAUUUCUCCUGUACUAAAAUAAAAUUAAACUCUCUUCCUGGAGUUCCCGUCGUGGCGCAGUGGUUAACGAAUCCGACUAGGAACCAUGAGGUUGCGGGUUCGGUCCCUGCCCUUGCUCAGUGGGUUAACGAUCUGGCGUUGCCGUGAGCUGUGGUGUAGGUUGCAGACUCGGCUCGGAUCCCACGUUGCUGUGGCUCUGGCGUAGGCCAGUGGCUACAGCUCCGAUUCAACCCCUAGCCUGGGAACCUCCAUAUGCCGCGGGAGCAGCCCAAAGAAAUUAGCAAAAAGACAAAAAAAAAAAAAAAAAAAAAAAAAACUCUCUUCCUAAAGAGUCAGCUGGUUUGAGAACUCAGGACCCUCUCAUGCUGCCUGGUCUGUUUUGUUUCGUUUUGUUUUUUUCCUUUUUAGGGCUACACCUGUGUCAUAUGGAGAUUUCCCAGGCUAGGGGUCAAAUCAGAGCUACAGCUGCCGGCCUCCACCACAGCCACAGCAACCCAGGAUCCAAGCUGCAUCUGCGACCUUCACCACAGCUCACGGCAACCCAGAUCCCCAACCCACUGGGGAAAGCCAGGGAUCAAACCCAAGUCCUCGUGGAUCUUUGUAGGGUUCGUUAACCACUGAGCCACGAAGGGGACUUUGAACAGUCUAUUCAUUAAUGACCCAACUCUUAGACCACACCUCCCUGUGGUUCCCCCAGCUUAUGGCUUUUGACCUUAACUCUACAAUUAAUCCUUUCAGUACCCCAGGAAGUAAAAUGGGAAUUGUCCCUUCUUCAGUGGGUAUGUAGAAGACAGGUAUGAGACGCGACCUGUGUCACGAUCCUCAGAACAAAGAGUCUGUGGACGUGAAAGCGCCACUGUGGUUAUUAGAACAAAUAAUAAGAGAAGUUGGCAUCACACGCAUGCAGUUACACAGCCCUGCUCCCACCUCUGCUAGUCCUUUAACUUCACAUGUGACAUUUUGUGGCACAGUCUUUCUGAGUAGCAACCAAAAACCCACUUAGGUAGAAAGAGCCCUGUAGGAUCUCACGGGAGUCCUGGCCUUGCCGUUAAUGUGUGGGAACUCAGCCAAAUCAACUGAUCUUAUUGGCAACUGUAGGAUCCACAAUCCAGAGCCAUAAAUAAGGGACUUAUUCGUGGUCUGGAUGGCUGGGGGAAAAAAGAGAGAGAGGAGAGAAAAUUUUACCUGUAGAGAAAUGCCACCCUAUUAUAGGUGUUUUAUUGAGAAAUGUCAUCUUUUGAAACAUAGCUUCUAUAAUAUUAGUUCACUGUCAACUGGUUACUUUUUUUUAUGCUAUUAAUAAAAUCAGCAUUAAGUAACUGUAAGUGUAUUUACAGUUGCUUCUGAAAACCCAUCAAAGGAACGUAAGUGGAAGGAGAUUAUUUUUUCUACUUGAAGAGACCAUUAAGAGUCUAAAAUAAAAUUUUGAAAACAUCUGUCUUACUUGAAACAUUCAUAAUUUUCUAGCAAAUAAAGGUCACGCAUAUAGCAGUUAAGAACAUGGGCUUCAAAGCUAGAGUGUCUGGGUUCCAAGCCUGGCUAUGCUGCCCUGGGUGACCUUGGAGGAGCUGCUUAGUGUCGGUUUUCUCAUCUGUAAAAUGGGUAUGACAAUAAUAAGUAACUCACAAGGUAGUUGAGAGGCUUGUAUAACUAUCAUUGUUUCCUGAACACGUCUUAUUAAUUGAAUACUUUCUAUUUCUAAGCCCUUAAUUUCCAGAACCACCCCGAGAGGGUUGUCCAUAUACGUCAAUUAGGCGAUGCAUGCAAAGCCCUUCAGACUGUGCGCAGCCAUUCUCAGGCUCAAUCAAGGCUACCUAGUGCUUUAUGUCCCCAAAGAGGGUGCCAAGUGAAAUCAGCAUGCCGUUGGAACGAAAUAAAUAAUUUAACAGGAGGAAGGAUGUUUCAAUGGGAGGCAAUCACCAUGAAUCUCACUUCUGAAGUGAGUUCAUUUGAAUUUGUCAACAAGCUCCUGCUAAAUGAAAUCGGCUGGAGAGCUAUAACUUAAGGCUAAAAUUAAAGGGUGAAUUAAAAACAGUGCCAGCGGGUUAGGUGGUGGGGACGGGCCUCGCAGAGUGCCAGGCCUGCUCUUUUUGGGCUUCCUGUUUCCCUUAAUCUGACCCAACAGUGCCAUUGAUUUAAUGGUGGAAAAGCAGGGACUAGGGGUUUGUAGUGUGUCAAGCAGGCUGAAUAAAAAGCAAAAUGAUGAAGGAAGAUUAAACACGCUGCAGCAGUGCUUUUCACACUUUUAAAUUUCAGGAUUGCUCUAUAUUCUGGAAAACUUAUUGAAAAUCUCAAAGAGGGCUUUUGUGUAUGUGGGUUGUUUCUACCUUAUUGGAUGUUAAAAAAGUUACAUUACUUAACAAUCAUAAAGCAUGUCUUGAUCACAUGAAUGAUAAUUUUAAAAUAAAAAACAG
RNAcentral lists this long non-coding RNA (4392 nucleotides) under Sus scrofa (pig). Its description in RNAcentral is "lncRNA (ENSSSCG00000044377.1)". Lineage: Eukaryota; Metazoa; Chordata; Mammalia; Artiodactyla; Suidae. The record is from RNAcentral.